This is a non-coding RNA of Lipotes vexillifer (Yangtze River dolphin), 347 nucleotides long. Lineage: Eukaryota; Metazoa; Chordata; Mammalia; Artiodactyla; Lipotidae. The record is from the annotation of a RefSeq genome assembly.
AUGGGCUCCAGCCUCCUCUGCUGUGUGGCUCUGUGUCUCCUGGCACCAGGUACAGUGGAUUCUGGAGUCACCCAAACACCAAGAUACCUGAUUAAAGCAAGAGGACACCAAGUGAUACUGAGGUGUUCCCCUAUGUCUGGGCACCGCAAUGCCAACAGGCCCUGGGUCAGGGCCCCUAGUUCCUCUUUGAGUUUUAUGAAAAUAUGCAGAGAGGAAAAGGAAACUUCCCGGGUCAAUUCUCAGCACAACACUUCCGUGAUGCUCGCUCUGAGCUGAACGUGAGCUCCUUGGAGCUGAGGGACUUGGCCCUGUACCUGUGUGCCAGCAGCUUAGCACAGCCCUGCUGA